AUGCCAUCGGAUGGUGGAAGAGCAAGACUGGCUUCUCAGGGGAGGCGAAGUCCCGGUGGGAGGCUGCUCGGUCCCGGAAAGGGCUGCGUGCCGCGGUGGCCUCCAGAAGCCGGCACGGGCAGCGGGAGGCCGCUUCCCGCCCGCCCGGUCCCCGUCAGCCGGCCACGGACCGCGCAGCAGAAGCCAGGCGUCACCGCGGGCGGCUCCGGGCGCGGAGGCCAGCCCGAGCUGUCACCUGCGCGGCAAGGCUGGAGCCGCGCGGAAGCCGGACCGCCGCAGCGACACGAAGCCGGUACCUCGAGAAGCGCUCGAUCAGGAGAAGGGGGCGGAGGCCUCCCCAACGCCCUCGUGGCCGGCCGUUCCCCAUCGCCCAACGGCCCGCGAGUUGCGGUUUUUGGGGAGACGCGACGCGUUCCUGGAGGUUUGCUGCCGGCGCGGCCUAGCGAGAGCCCUUUCGCCGCUCCAUGCCUCGGCUUCCCCAUGGGAAGUGGCCACCUGCCUGGAGGAGCCAGCGGCGUUUCCGCAGCAAAGGACGAGCUCGGGAGCGGCGUGAGGGAGGACGCGGAAAAGAUGUCUACUCUCCUGCUGAGGAAACAUCCUUCCAUGGACUCCAGCAGCCCCAGCCUGAAAUCUGUAAGCAAAAUCUCCACAACUUGGCUUGACUUUGCUAGACACCGCUCAAACACAUCCAAAACAGAUAGUUUCCACCAUGAAGCUCUUCCAUAAAGUGAUUGCAUUCGCAGUGCAAGGGUCUGUGGAUGUUGGCAUGUGAUCGAGUGCUGGAAACAUUUUGCAUAAGACUCAUCCACGUGAGGGGCUCCCAGGUCGGCUCCUUGCUGGCUGCUCCGAGCAUGGUGCUCCCUGGAGCCCAGGACAGCGGCGUUCAUGCCAUGGGAUUUGUCCAGUGUGGAUUUCUAGAGAGUGCCUAUUUUGUCACAUCCGUCUCUGUUUAGGCCCGUUUCUGGUUUGCAUAUGCAUCACUGUGCCGGUGCCUGAUGCUGUCUGUCCAGGAUUUUCUUUUCAUAUCAGGUAAUCUGAUGUUUCCCCCUACAUAUGAAGAAAUACUGAGCUGUUUCCUUUUUAUAUAGAUUUAUUUCUUGAAGCCUAGAUAAAUCCAGAAAUUGCCUUUGCUUCCCUCAUGACAGCAAUUCCCCUAAUGUUAAUGGGAGUUAGGUCAAGAGCAGAGUAUGAAUCUGUGAAGCCAAUAAACACCUAGUCCCUGAUGAUGCA
This is a long non-coding RNA of Apteryx owenii (little spotted kiwi), 1230 nucleotides long. The record is from Ensembl. Lineage: Eukaryota; Metazoa; Chordata; Aves; Apterygiformes; Apterygidae.